This 397-nucleotide ribosomal RNA is filed under the name uncultured bacterium. RNAcentral's name for it is "bacterial SSU rRNA". It matches the Rfam family "Bacterial small subunit ribosomal RNA", at positions 28 to 407 of the family's 1533-position model. The record is from RNAcentral.
GACGAACGCUGGCGGCGUGCCUAACACAUGCAAGUCGAGCGGGAACCUCACGGAGGGGGUAACCCACCUGAGGGGAGAGCGGCGAACGGGUGAGUAACACGUGGGCAACCUGCCCCGGACACCGGGAGUAACCCAGGGGAAACCUGAGCUAAUACCGGAUACUCCGGCGCGAGUCGCAUGGUCGCUCCGGGAAAGCUCCGACGGUCCGGGAUGGGCCCGCGGCCUAUCAGGCUUGUUGGCGAGGUAACGGCNCACCAAGGCUUCGACGGGUAGCUGGUCUGAGAGGACGGACAGGCCACACUGGGACUGAGACACGGCCCAGACUCCUACGGGAGGCGAGCAGUGGGGAAUAUUGCGCUAAUGCGCGAAAGCGUGACGCAGCGACGCCGCGUGGGGA